GUGUGUGUGUGAACGGGGUGGGCGUGUGCGUGUGUGCCGGGCCCACCCCUUUUUCCUUUAGGUUUCUACCUGGAUAAGUGUUCUCACUGGCGAUCGCAACAGGCUUUUUACCAUCAAAUGGGAAUUGGUAGCUUUUUUCUGUUAUCAGUCUGUUAACAUCUGGAAAAUAUAUUUCACGUGUAUAUUAUAUUAAACGAAUUUAGAACUGUGAUCUCACUUAAGAAAUAAAUGUUGAUUAUACUGUUUGACAA
Long non-coding RNA from Drosophila sechellia, 251 nucleotides. RefSeq lists it as uncharacterized. The transcript is spliced from 2 exons. The record is from RefSeq and is a predicted model, not a curated record. NCBI's taxonomy places the organism in Eukaryota, Metazoa, Arthropoda, Insecta, Diptera, Drosophilidae.